GAAUUUUGGACAAUGGGGGCAACCCUGAUCCAGCCAUCCCGCGUGUGCGAUGAAGGCCUUCGGGUUGUAAAGCACUUUUGGCAGGGAGGAAAAGGCUCUGGCUAAUACCUGGCGUGGCUGACGGUACCGGCAGAAGCAGCACCGGCUAACAACUUGCCAGCAGCCGCGGUAAUACGUAGGGUGCAAGCGUUAAUCGGAAUUACUGGGCGGAAAGCGUGCGCAGGCGGUUCGGCAAGAAGGAUGUGAAAUCCCAGGGCUUAACCUUGGAACUGCAUUCUUAACUGCCGGGCUAGAGUAUGUCAGAGGGGGGUAGAAUUCCGCGUGUAGCAGUGAAAUGCGUAGAGAUGCGGAGGAAUACCGAUGGCGAAGGCAGCCCCCUGGGAUAAUACUGACGCUCAUGCACGAAAGCGUGGGGAGCAAAC
RNAcentral lists this ribosomal RNA (422 nucleotides) under uncultured bacterium. Its description in RNAcentral is "partial 16S ribosomal RNA". It matches the Rfam family "Bacterial small subunit ribosomal RNA", at positions 359 to 773 of the family's 1533-position model. The record is from RNAcentral.